AACCAAAGUAAAAUUAAUCAAACAACGCAAAGAAAUAUUUUCCAAUUAAACUCUUUACACUUUUUUGUUUGCCUUUUCAUCUUCAAAAAGGAUGCAUUUAUGCGUAACUUAAUAAUUUUCCUUUCAAGCACUUUUUUUCUUAAGUAAUUACACGAUCAUUAACUAAAGCUUCAUAAUAAUUAAAAAAUUUUUUAGUUUGAUUACGUUUUGAUUAUUGGGAGAUGUGCUCGUUCUUAAUUCUCAAACUCUCCUUAAAUUGUUAUUAUUAAUAUUUUAAGAAUGUUUAAAGUUUAUAUGUAUAUGUCUACCACCGAGGAAACGCAAUAUAUAUGUAUAUGUGUUUACGCUACUUAUUUGUGUGUUUGUUAUUAUUUGUGACAUCCUAACUAAAAAAAUCUUUGGAAAAGCGCACUACAACUUGGGGAAAUGGAAGAGCUACCGUUCACAUGAAGCGCACCACCUUUUAUUUCUUUCUUUUUUGAAUUCCUAAUAAACACGCAUACGUCUGUACAAUGAUACGAAACUAAAGUUGAAUAGAAAGAACUUAAAUUGGAUUACAAUUACGAUGCUUGGAAAAAAGUUUCACUUGCUUGCGUUUAUUGCUUUACUUUAUCUUCCUCUGCCUCUAAAAUAUUUUCUCAUUUUAAGUUAAUGUUUUUGUGCUAGUGUUUGCACUUCAAACUCUAAUCCGUGCUACUUAACUGAAACAGAUUCAAGAUUUAACGAUUUCCACCGAAUAUUAAUCGGGCUAACACUAUUUCCGGCUUCAAAAAUUUGGAUACGUAACAAUGUUGUUGUGUGCUUCUUGGUUUUUUUAAAGGAAACCCUUCCAUUCAAUUUAUGGUGUAAAGGUAUCUCAUAUUAUCGAACAGCAAAUGUCAAAAUGUAAAUGAUAUUUUCGUACAAAUGGAAUAUUAGUUUACGACACACACGAAGCAAAAGUUUCAUUUAAUUUUGUAAACGCUCCAUUUUUUCCAGGAAGUCAGGCUUUAUUUGAAGCAGACGUCUUUUGGAUUGAACGCUUGCCAAUGCUUGACCUUACGGUGUCUGGCGCAUAGAACAGAAAUAAUACAUAACUCAUUGUCUAAAUCUAAAAAGAUUGUUCUCAGAAUUUCAUACUUCGCAGGUAUAUCCUUUAAAAGCUUCCUUAAAUGUUUAAUGUCCGUCCAUGUCCUUUCGGCAAAGAAAUAUUUAAGUUAGAUGGAAGAAUAAUUUUUAAGGAAAAAGUUCUAUGCUAAUUGUGUGGUAGAUAUCUUAGACUCGGCGUUAAGCGUGAGUAUUCUUUAUCUAAUCUCUAAUUCUUGUUCCUAAUUUGUUAUAUACAUAUAUAUAUAUAAUUUUCUAUAUAUUAAUGCAAUUGAUAUUUUUUGAUUACCGGCUUUCACACUGAUUUGAAAUUAUAUUUGUCAGACUAAAAGCGUGCGUUUAUUGCUAAAUAAGUAAGUGGAACAAAAGUAUGUCACAAGUUCCAUUAUUAAAUUUAUGAGGAAAAAAAAAAAAAACAGAAAAAAUUCAAUUCAAUAGUUUAUUGCAUAUCUUGAAAUCAUUUGUUGUUAUCCUUUGUAUAUGUAUUUUAUGUUAAGCAACUUUAGAAAAAUUAAUUGCACUGCAUACCCUUUUUAUAUCUACUACACUUUCCAUUUCCUUCAUAUAUCCAAAAUAUUGAAAUAAAAACAAUAUUGGUAACACCGCCUACCAUAGUAAAUGCAACAUUUAUGCCAGCAUUUAUGUACCUUUCACAAUCGUAUUUUGUCGAAUGGCAGUAAAAGCAACAAGAUUUUAUGCAACAAGCAAGCAAUUUUGAAACCCACGACAUCUCUACAAAACAUUAUCAAAUGCAUCUGCACGACCACCACCACCACCACCACCAUCACAAGCCAAGCACUCGGUAACAUUUCUUCAAAUUAUCUUUGUUUGGUAAAUUUUGUUACGUGCCAUCCGUGCAAGCAGAACGCAAGGCAGCAAAAAAAAAAAAAAAAUAAAUAAAAUCCUAAUGUUUGUAUGCGUGUGUUUUUGUGCUACUUAUACUAUUCGAAUUUUUCUUCCACUAAUGCUACACACUACCACCAGCAUCAAAUAUUAUCAUCUUAACUUAACAACAACAACCAUCAUUGCUUGCAAUGAGUUUACGUUCACAUGCGUUGCAAUCAUCCUUGUCCUUCGUAUUCUCCAAACAAACAAAACAAAGAAGAAAAGAAAGAAGGGAAAAGUUAUUACAUACUUAAAGAUAAGGAUGAUGAGGAUGAUGAUGAUGUGUGGCGACCGUCAUUCUGGCCAAUGCUUUGCGUUAUAACAAUAAAUCAGUCAAUGAAAAUUCAUCGGACAUUUUAGUGAAACUGCGAAAUGUACUGCAAUGCGAUUUAUUAGCUCAACCGUAAAGCCUUGAGUUAUCCCCCCCCCCGCUUUUCUGUAAGGGGUGGAGGAGAACUCAACUCCACUAACAUCGCUAAACACCAUCAGUUUGCGCCCCUAUGAAUGUGUAUUUACGAGAACAACAACAACAACAACAACAAAAUGACAUCAGACAAGUUGAGUAAUAAUAACGUUUGCAAAAACAAAACAAAAAAAAAGAAAAGAAAAAAGUGAAAAAAACAUAGCAACGGCAGCAACAGCAGCAGCAACAGCAACUUGUCCCGUCAAUGCCAGCCGUUUAUGUGAAAGUCAUAUGAAUCAAAACUAACGAGAAAACUUUAAUUGAAACCAGCUACAAUAACAGUAACUACAGCAACUACAACAACAAUAACAGCAAGCAUCGAAUAGGGGUAAACAAGAGCAGUCUAUAACAAAACAUUUACUUACAAAUACGAAGACAUUAAUAAAGCACAUAUACAUACAACACAUACAAAUAUAUAUAUAUAUAUAUAUAUAUAUAUAUAUGCACACACACACACGGGCAAUCUCAAUUACUUAAAUAAAUUGAAUAACCGAUUUAAUAAAACAGCAAGAAACAAAUAGUGUCAUCCGGGGUGAGAGUAAGCAGUUAGAGAGUUUUACUGAAAAGCAGAAAAAAGAAAAAAAAGAACAGAAACAAAAACAAAACAAAAAACGCCCGAACAACUCAAAUUAUAACUUUCUCAUUACUUUCUUAUAUCACUUCAAUGUAACGUAAUGUCUGUGCUUUGUUUUUCUUGUUUUUAUUUAUUUAUUUAUAUUUAUAAUAACAUAAUUGAAACUUUUGUCUAAGCAAGAUAAUUAUACAACAUUUUUUUGGAUAGAAGAAUGUACAUGUACACCCAUACAUACAUACAUACAUACAUACAUACAUACAUACAUACAUACAUACAUACAUACAUACAUACAUACAUACAUACAUACAUACGUAGAUACAUACUUAUACACAAGCAUGCGUACAUUAACACUUAUGUAACAGAAUUUUGCUUUAAAUAGCAAAAGUGUUUUCAUGUACGUACGCGCACGAAUGUAUGUAUGUAUGUAUGCAUGCAUGCAUUAAUUGCUAGACAAAUUGAGAUAAAUAAUUUAUGCUUUAUUUAAUGCAUACUUUUAGAUGCAAACAUUAAUUUGCAAUAGGCUGUAUAUAUGUAAAUUGCUUAUGAGACAUGCAAGAAUACGAGGUUUGUUCAAAACAAAAAAUUCAAAAAUUCAUUUUUACAAAAUAUUUUUUUAAUUGCUUUUCAUAUCGUCGUACUUACCUUUGAGUCAUGUCUGUUUAGAAAUCCUAUUUGAAGAAUUGUUUAUCGAAAAGAUUACAUUUGUUUUGCAUAUAUAUAAAUAUGUACUAAUACUAAAUAAUAAAAAUAGUUUAAAUUAUGUGCAAAAACAACUUCAAGAUGCCAUUCAUUACUUAUUCCCUAUCGUGAUUGCACUUUAUUUUAACAAAAACAUUGCUUUACAAUGCAAAAGAAAAUUGCAAUUGGAAAGCAACGAGUAGACAAUGCUCCCUUUCUAUUCUCAAGGCGGAUGCCCGUCAUGCUAGACAUCAAUCAUCUCAGCGCUUUUAUCGUUGGACGAAUAAGGAAUAGAGUAUACCUAAACUAGGACCUUUGAAGCCUGACUGUAACACAAUACCUUAGAAACUCACUUUUACGCUUUAC
Glossina fuscipes is the source of this 4052-nucleotide long non-coding RNA. RefSeq lists it as uncharacterized. The record is from RefSeq and is a predicted model, not a curated record. The transcript has 2 exons. Lineage: Eukaryota; Metazoa; Arthropoda; Insecta; Diptera; Glossinidae.